Molecule: non-coding RNA, 271 nt
Filed under: Trichinella sp. T6
Lineage: Eukaryota; Metazoa; Nematoda; Enoplea; Trichinellida; Trichinellidae
Description: Eukaryotic small subunit ribosomal RNA
Rfam family: Eukaryotic small subunit ribosomal RNA
Source: Rfam by way of RNAcentral
UACCUGGUUGAUCCUGCCAGUAGCAUAUGCUUGUCUCAAAGAUUAAGCCAUGCAUGUCUAAGUACGCACGGCCGGUACAGUGAAACUGCGAAUGGCUCAUUAAAUCAGUUAUGGUUCCUUUGGUCGCUCGCUCCUCUCCUACUUGGAUAACUGUGGUAAUUCUAGAGCUAAUACAUGCCGACGGGCGCUGACCCCCCUUCCCGGGGGGGGAUGCGUGCAUUUAUCAGAUCAAAACCAACCCGGUGAGCUCCCUCCCGGCUCCGGCCGGGGG